This 394-nucleotide ribosomal RNA is filed under the name uncultured Gammaproteobacteria bacterium. RNAcentral describes it as "bacterial SSU rRNA". It matches the Rfam family "Bacterial small subunit ribosomal RNA", at positions 370 to 779 of the family's 1533-position model. The record is from RNAcentral. Lineage: Bacteria; Pseudomonadati; Pseudomonadota; Gammaproteobacteria.
AAUGGGCGAAAGCCUGACGAAGCAACGCCGCGUGAGGGAUGAAGGCCUCUGGGCUGUAAACCUCUUUUAUCAAGGAAGAAGAUCUGACGGUACUUGAUGAAUAAGCCACAGCUAAUUCCGUGCCAGCAGCCGCGGUAAUACGGGAGUGGCAAGCGUUAUCCGGAAUUAUUGGGCGUAAAGCGUCCGCAGGCGGCCCUUCAAGUCUGCUGUUAAAAAGUGGAGCUUAACUCCAUCAUGGCAGUGGAAACUGUUGGGCUUGAGUGUGGUAGGGGCAGAGGGAAUUCCCGGUGUAGCGGUGAAAUGCGUAGAUAUCGGGAAGAACACCAGUGGCGAAGGCGCUCUGCUGGGCCAUCACUGACGCUCAUGGACGAAAGCCAGGGGAGCGAAAGGGAUU